This is a long non-coding RNA of Perca fluviatilis (European perch), 662 nucleotides long. RefSeq lists it as uncharacterized. The record is from RefSeq and is a predicted model, not a curated record. NCBI's taxonomy places the organism in Eukaryota, Metazoa, Chordata, Actinopteri, Perciformes, Percidae. The transcript has 5 exons.
GGAAAACCACAUUGGAGAAGACUGCACAUUAUAUCCACCUCCAUCCUCUUUGCUUACACCCUUGAGAAGGCAUAAUCUUUUCACACCACUUCCAUCAAGUCAGCUCCUGUCUUGGCCACUUUUUUUGGAGAGUGUUUAACACGCUGCAUAGACGUACAUAAACAUGUGGUGAGUGCAGAAGAAGACUACUGAAAUCGAGGACCCCGUUAAUGGAGCAGCCCACCAUUCAUCCAGGAGAGAACCAUGUCCACAGAAAUGGAGGUGCUGCCUGAGCCUGAUGAGACCCAGUGCUGUUUUAGAAACAACUAACAAGAUUAAGAGGCUCUUCCUUGGAAUCAACCCCGAGAGUUGAACGAAUUAAGGCCACCCAGGGGAAGGUGGUGUCAAAGAGGACGGGAGGCUGGUCCAUAAGCUAGUGUGAAUCCCCAUGUGGCGACCCUCAUCAAAAACUUCUUGGACUUUGAGUGGAGAUUAAUGUAGCCGACAACCCAUCGCCACACAAGAUGUUCAUGUUCUUCAGUUAAGUUCUGUUCAGUUAAAUUGUGCAGUUGCAGGUUAGUUGUUGAUUUGUUGUUCCAUUAAAUGCAAUGUGUUAUCUGAAUGAGUUUUUUAACACAUGCAUUUUCGUAUGGCAAUAUAAGCCUGUGUAAUGUUUUUAUGGA